Solanum dulcamara is the source of this 1387-nucleotide RNA transcript. It is a transcript of the gene named isoflavone reductase homolog, with no coding region annotated. NCBI's taxonomy places the organism in Eukaryota, Viridiplantae, Streptophyta, Magnoliopsida, Solanales, Solanaceae. The transcript has 7 exons. The record is from RefSeq and is a predicted model, not a curated record.
CAAUAACAAAAUUCCUCCUCACUAUCUCAUCAAAGCAUUUUCCCAGUUUAGAAAUCAAUGGCCGGAAAAAGUAAGAUUCUGUUCAUCGGAGGUACUGGCUACAUCGGAAAGUUCAUCGUCGAAGCUAGUGCUAAAGCUGGUCACCACACAUUUGUCAUGGUUAGAGAAUCCACUCUUUCCAAUCCUAUCAAAACCAAACUCAUCGAUACUUUCAAGAGUUUCGGUGUCACCUUUCUCCAUGGAGAUUUAUAUGAUCAUGAGAGUUUGGUGAAGGCAAUAAAGCAAGUGGAUGUUGUGAUUUCUACUGUAGGUCAUGCCCUUUUAGCUGAUCAGGUCAAGAUCAUUGCUGCUAUCAAGGAAGCUGGCAAUGUCAAGAGAUUCUUUCCCUCUGAAUUUGGGACCGAUGUAGAUCGUGUCCAUGCUGUUGAGCCUGCUAAAACAGCAUUUAAUACUAAAGCUCAAAUUCGCCGCGCUGUUGAGGCUGAAGGAAUAUCCUUCACUUAUGUGGCCAACUUCUUUUUUGCUGGUUAUUUCCUUCCAAAUUUGGCACAGCCUGGAGCUGCAGGUCCUCCCAAAGACAAAGUUGUCAUCUUAGGAGAUGGAAGUACUAAAGCUGUUUUUAACAAGGAAGAAGACAUUGGUACCUAUACCAUAAAGGCUGUGGAUGAUCCCAAAACACUUAACAAAAUCCUCUACAUCAUGCCUCCACACAAUAUAAUUACUUUAAACGAGUUGGUAUCUUUGUGGGAGAAGAAAACUGGAGAGAACCUUGAAAGAAUAUAUGCACCAGAGGAACAAGUUCUCAAGAACAUACAAGAAGCCUCGUUUCCAUUGAAUGUGGUAUUAUCGAUCUCUCACACUGCUUUUGUGAAGGGUGACCACACUAAUUUUGAAAUUGACCCAUCAUUUGGAGUAGAGGCAUCAGAGGUUUAUCCUGAUGUUAAAUAUACCCCGGUAGAUGAGAUUCUCCACCAAUAUGUGUGAAUCUUUAGAGUUCCUUCCUAUUAAGCAUAAGGAACCGACGUCGCACCUCGACUUCCUCCACGUGGCUAAUUCGAGUUAGUUAAAGAUUACUUGUGAGACAGGUACUAGAGAUCAUCAACCGGCACACCGUUGAAGAUCCACACACUCCCAGCUAGUUGGUGAGUCCUCCUAGUUUCCAGAGGAUGCUGAGAUUUCCUGUAUAGUUUUGUAUUGUUUUCUCUAUUUUGAUUGUUGGUAGUCAUGGUCGUGUCAUUGGCACCUCCUAGAUUGUUGAUAGAGGCUUCAUAGACCGGAGCGUAGAAAUAUUGGAUUGUUCUUUUGAGUAGUUUUUCUAUAACUGUUUGUUGAUUUGAUAGUUAUUCGGCCUUUGGCCCUAAAUUAUGAAUAGUAUUUCAUUGAUUGA